UGUUGCUUAUUCACAAAUCAGAAGAGUGAUUGAUGACCUUGAAUUUUAAAACCAGUAAACUACUACACUUUGUUGUCCAGUGGUUGGUAUUCCUUAUAUUGGCUUCAAGAACCAGUGUUUUUAGAUAAUUUUCGUACGAGUGAUAUGUACUUGUAAGAUAUGGACCUGAAAUAUAAUUUUCAGAAAUAAUUAGAGAUUAACACAGAUAACUUAAUCCCAAUUAGACUGUGAAAGAAAAGAAAACUGUGAAGUUGUUUCUGUAUAUAUAAACACAGAAAAUUUGGGUUAUAGAUGGACUGAUGUGAAAGAAAACACUUCUAAUCAGCUGGAUGUUUUGCAACUUCUGAACCAGUUUUUCUGAAAUUUGCAGACAGACUUUUACACAAGCACCAGGUCACAUCCAAGUCGUCGCCAGUAACUACAGUCAACUUGGCUACACUCGAGCUAGUGCCUCAUUCACGCACCUCCUUACACCACCAUGAUGCUCAACUUCAAGCACAUGUGCAAAGAAGGAGCGUGAGUCACCUGUUUGCCUGAGGUGCGAAUCACCGAGGUUUGAUCCCACUAUAGAGAAAGCCAGAUGGGCAUGUUGUUCCCUUCCCAUCAUGAUUUCCAACUCCCUCAAGUCUUUCGCUCCAGGGCAUCAAUUCUCAGAGUAACGUUUUAAUGGCCAGAAGACAUGGAGAGUGGUUUUAAUUUAUAUUUCAAAUUCCAGAAAAUUUCAAAAGACAAGUCAGAUACGUGUAUCCCAGAGAACAUUUUUAUUGUGUUUUUUAUUAUCACUUUGAAAGAAACAGUUAUAUUUUCUCAACUUGUUAUAUCAUGUGAAAAUACUUAUAUUUUGUUGAGAGAAUUCCUUAGAUUUCAAUUAUGAUACGUCAUAAAACAAAUAUACUUUUUUAGUUUAGUGUGUUUAAUAAUGUGCCUUAAUAAAACUGCGUAAAGAAAGUUUAUUUGUAUUGUAUCUUGUAAAAACGUUUAUGAAAGUCACAUGAACUGUGAAUCAUCGUUUUAUGAUGUGCUAACGUUCGUUUUUGCACUCCGUAUAUUAAAAACUUGUAUAAAGAAAUGUCCCUUGUUUUUAAUUAGAUUUCUUAAAUAGGUUACACUAACUAACUUUCACAUCGAAUGUUUAUUAGAUUUAAUCAUUUUUAUCGUUUCAUUUUGCUACAGUCAAAGAAAAUGCUAGGCUCGGUUUGUUCACUAGCAUUUUUCUUCUUGUUUUUUAGUUACAAUAAAUAAUUAAAGAAAAUGGAUUUCGAAAAAAAAUGUUGGUUUGGGAAACCGGGACGGUCGAAAACGUGAAUAUAAUUAAGCUGAAUUCUUGAUACUUUGUCAAAGAGUAACAGAUAUUCGCGCAAUGAGAAAUGCCAUAAUUACCAGAUGGAAGUAGACAUGGUGCUAAAAAAAUAAUGUUUUUGUGAACAUAAGUUAGUACUGUAUAGUCAUAAAAUUCCAAACCUGUGAAUGUAAUUGAUUGUUACAGAUGACCAUUGACGUUUUUGGUUUCAAAAAAUUAAGUCGCCACGUUUUUGUAAUCAGUAAUACUUUCCAGUGGACAUAGUUAAAAGUGUCACUCUUAAUUCAUAUUUAGUCGAAGUUGUAAUGGAUAUUUUGUAUUGGUGGAAAAGAUACUAAGGCUAUCUGCCGCCGUUCCUAAUUAUGAACUAUUGGCCUAUCACCCAACAUCCACGCUAAGUGAUUUACUGUCACUCUUAUAAUGCACCACAGCUUAAAGUGUGGGCAAUAUUUUUUGGUACCUCACGGAUUUGCGCCUGGCUUGCUAGCUCCGAUAUCCAGAGUUCUAUCAAAGAGCCAACCCCGUAAAGCCAGAUAGUGAUGUAAUUGAGAUCAUUAUAUACAUAUUUCGCUACCGUUGUAGAAAGCAUAUAUGUGAAUGUUAUGUAUAUAACAUACGUAACGCUAUGACUUACGUUUAAAAUCGUAGUAACCCUCUAUAAUCGUGCACUUUUCACUU
RNAcentral lists this long non-coding RNA (1978 nucleotides) under Limulus polyphemus (Atlantic horseshoe crab). Its description in RNAcentral is "uncharacterized LOC111086940". The record is from RNAcentral. Lineage: Eukaryota; Metazoa; Arthropoda; Merostomata; Xiphosura; Limulidae.